Molecule: ribosomal RNA, 742 nt
Filed under: uncultured bacterium
Lineage: Bacteria
Description: bacterial SSU rRNA
Rfam family: Bacterial small subunit ribosomal RNA
Source: RNAcentral
AGCGGCGGACGGGUGAGUAACACGUGGGUAACCUGCCCAAGAGACUGGGAUAACACCUGGAAACAGAUGCUAAUACCGGAUAACAACACUAGACGCAUGUCUAGAGUUUGAAAGAUGGUUCUGCUAUCACUCUUGGAUGGACCUGCGGUGCAUUAGCUAGUUGGUAAGGUAACGGCUUACCAAGGCAAAGAUGCAUAGCCGAGUUGAGAGACUGAUCGGCCACAUUGAGACUGAGACACGGCCCAAACUCCUACGGGAGGCAGCAGUAGGGAAUCUUCCACAAUGGACGAAAGUCUGAUGGAGCAACGCCGCGUGAGUGAAGAAGGGUUUCGGCUCGUAAAGCUCUGUUGGUAGUGAAGAAAGAUAGAGGUAGUAACUGGCCUUUAUUUGACGGUAAUUACUCAGAAAGUCGCGGCUAACUACGAGCCAGCAGCCGCGGUAAUACGUAGGUGGCAAGCGUUGUCCGGAUUUAUUGGGCGUAAAGCGAGUGCAGGCGGUUCAAUAAGUCUGAUGUGAAAGCCUUCGGCUCAACCGGAGAAUUGCAUCAGAAACUGUUGAACUUGAGUGCAGAAGAGGAGAGUGGAACUCCAUGUGUAGCGGUGGAAUGCGUAGAUAUAUGGAAGAACACCAGUGGCGAAGGCGGCUCUCUGGUUUGCAACUGACGCUGAGGCUCGAAAGCAUGGGUAGCGAACAGGAUUAGAUACCCUGGUAGUCCAUGCCGUAAACGAUGAGUGCUAAGUGU